This 72-nucleotide transfer RNA is filed under the name Bos taurus (domestic cattle). It matches the Rfam family "tRNA". Rfam says of the family: Transfer RNA (tRNA) molecules are approximately 80 nucleotides in length. Their secondary structure includes four short double-helical elements and three loops (D, anti-codon, and T loops). Lineage: Eukaryota; Metazoa; Chordata; Mammalia; Artiodactyla; Bovidae. The record is from Rfam by way of RNAcentral. RNAcentral also lists the same sequence under 2 other names.
UCCCUGGUGGCUCAGACGGUGAAGCAUCUGUCUGCAGUGCAGGAGACCUGGGUUCAAUCCCUGGGUGGGGAA